This 1505-nucleotide ribosomal RNA is filed under the name Lactiplantibacillus plantarum. RNAcentral's name for it is "bacterial SSU rRNA". It matches the Rfam family "Bacterial small subunit ribosomal RNA". The record is from RNAcentral. Lineage: Bacteria; Bacillati; Bacillota; Bacilli; Lactobacillales; Lactobacillaceae.
AUCUGCUAGACGACGCUGGCGGCGUGCCUAAUACAUGCAAGUCGAACGAACUCUGGUAUUGAUUGGUGCUUGCAUCAUGAUUUACAUUUGAGUGAGUGGCGAACUGGUGAGUAACACGUGGGAAACCUGCCCAGAAGCGGGGGAUAACACCUGGAAACAGAUGCUAAUACCGCAUAACAACUUGGACCGCAUGGUCCGAGUUUGAAAGAUGGCUUCGGCUAUCACUUUUGGAUGGUCCCGCGGCGUAUUAGCUAGAUGGUGGGGUAACGGCUCACCAUGGCAAUGAUACGUAGCCGACCUGAGAGGGUAAUCGGCCACAUUGGGACUGAGACACGGCCCAAACUCCUACGGGAGGCAGCAGUAGGGAAUCUUCCACAAUGGACGAAAGUCUGAUGGAGCAACGCCGCGUGAGUGAAGAAGGGUUUCGGCUCGUAAAACUCUGUUGUUAAAGAAGAACAUAUCUGAGAGUAACUGUUCAGGUAUUGACGGUAUUUAACCCAGAAAGCCACGGCUAACUACGUGCCAGCAGCCGCGGGUAAUACGUAGGUGGCAAGCGUUGUCCGGGAUUUAUUGGGCGUAAAGCGAGCGCAGGCGGUUUUUUAAGUCUGAUGUGAAAGCCUUUCGGCUCAACCGAAGAAGUGCAUCGGAAACUGGGAAACUUGAGUGCAGAAGAGGACAGUGGAACUCCAUGUGUAGCGGUGAAAUGCGUAGAUAUAUGGAAGAACACCAGUGGCGAAGGCGGCUGUCUGGUCUGUAACUGACGCUGAGGCUCGAAAGUAUGGGUAGCAAACAGGAUUAGAUACCCUGGUAGUCCAUACCGUAAACGAUGAAUGCUAAGUGUUGGAGGGUUUCCGCCCUUCAGUGCUGCAGCUAACGCAUUAAGCAUUCCGCCUGGGGAGUACGGCCGCAAGGCUGAAACUCAAAGGAAUUGACGGGGGCCCGCACAAGCGGUGGAGCAUGUGGUUUAAUUCGAAUGCUACGCGAAGAACCUUACCAAGUCUUGACAUACUAUGCAAAUCUAAGAGAUUAGACGUUUCCUUCGGGGACAUGGAAUACAGGUGGUGCAUGGUUGUCGUCAGCUCGUGUCGUGAGAUGUUGGGUUAAGUCCCGCAACGAGCGCAACCCUUAUUAUCAGUUGCCAGCAUUAAGUUGGGCACUCUGGUGAGACUGCCGGUGACAAACCGGAGGAAGGUGGGGAUGACGUCAAAUCAUCAUGCCCCUUAUGACCUGGGCUACACACGUGCUACAAUGGAUGGUACAACGAGUUGCGAACUCGCGAGAGUAAGCUAAUCUCUUAAAGCCAUUCUCAGUUCGGAUUGUAGGCUGCAACUCGCCUACAUGAAGUCGGAAUCGCUAGUAAUCGCGGAUCAGCAUGCCGCGGUGAAUACGUUCCCGGGCCUUGUACACACCGCCCGUCACACCAUGAGAGUUUGUAACACCCAAAGUCGGUGGGGUAACCUUUUAGGAACCAGCCGCCUAAGGUGGGACAGAUGAUUAGGGAAGUC